UAUGUGAUCGUCUCUCGCAUAUCAAUAAGCGGAGGAAAAGAAACUAACAAGGAUUCCCCUAGUAACGGCGAGUGAAGCGGGAAGAGCUCAAAUUUGAAAUCUUAAAGGGUUUCCCUUUACGAAUUGUAGUUUAAAGAAGUGUUUUCUGUUGAGGUUUUGGUAAAAGUUCUUUGGAAUAGGACAUCAUAGAGGGUGAGAAUCCCGUAUUUGACCUUUACUUUCAACUUUGUGAUACACUUUCAAAGAGUCGGAUUGUUUGGGAAUACAGUCCAAAAUGGGUGGUAAAUUUCAUCUAAAGCUAAAUAUUGGCGAGAGACCGAUAGCGAACAAGUACCGUGAGGGAAAGAUGAAAAGAACUUUGAAAAGAGAGUUAAACAGUACGUGAAAUUGUCAAAAGGGAAGCGUUUGACACCAGUGUUGUUUUUCUGAAAAUCAAUUAAAGAACUGUUUAUGCUAAGCUGUUUAGACUUUAUCAGCUAUCUGUUUAGUUUUGGAGCUUUUCUUUAAUGCACUUUUCAGUUAACAAGUCAACAUCAAUUUCUUUUGCUGUAAAAAAGCUUGAGGAAGGUGGCUUGAGAUUCGUCUUAAGUGUUUAUAGCCUCUUGCCUAUGCAGUCGGAGAGAUUGAGGUCUGCAGCGUAGAUCCUUCGGGGCUAAAUGCAUUUGUGCUAAGUUAUAGCAUUUUAUAGACAACUUGUUGACUAUGAUUUGUCUUGUAGCUUACUCGCUUAUGUUAUUUUACCUACGCUUAGGAUGUUGACGAGACUGUCGAUCUC
Molecule: ribosomal RNA, 775 nt
Filed under: uncultured Neocallimastigales
Lineage: Eukaryota; Fungi; Neocallimastigomycota; Neocallimastigomycetes; Neocallimastigales
Description: partial large subunit ribosomal RNA
Rfam family: Eukaryotic large subunit ribosomal RNA
Source: RNAcentral